GACGAACGCUGGCGGCGUGCUUAACACAUGCAAGUCGAACGGAAAGGCCCUGCUUUUGUGGGGUGCUCGAGUGGCGAACGGGUGAGUAACACGUGAGUAACCUGCCCUUGACUUUGGGAUAACUUCAGGAAACUGGGGCUAAUACCGGAUAGGAGCUCCUGCUGCAUGGUGGGGGUUGGAAAGUUUCGGCGGUUGGGGAUGGACUCGCGGCUUAUCAGCUUGUUGGUGGGGUAGUGGCUUACCAAGGCUUUGACGGGUAGCCGGCCUGAGAGGGUGACCGGCCACAUUGGGACUGAGAUACGGCCCAGACUCCUACGGGAGGCAGCAGUGGGGAAUAUUGCACAAUGGGCGGAAGCCUGAUGCAGCAACGCCGCGUGCGGGAUGACGGCCUUCGGGUUGAAAACCGCUUUCGCCUGUGACAAAGCGUGAGUGACGGUAAUGGGUAAAGAAGCACCGGCUAACUACGUG
RNAcentral lists this ribosomal RNA (468 nucleotides) under uncultured bacterium. RNAcentral describes it as "partial 16S ribosomal RNA". It matches the Rfam family "Bacterial small subunit ribosomal RNA", at positions 28 to 507 of the family's 1533-position model. The record is from RNAcentral.